RNAcentral lists this transfer RNA (75 nucleotides) under Actinoplanes sp. NBRC 103695. RNAcentral's name for it is "tRNA-Leu". The record is from RNAcentral. Lineage: Bacteria; Bacillati; Actinomycetota; Actinomycetes; Micromonosporales; Micromonosporaceae.
GCCCUCGUGGCCCAACUGGCAGAGGCCCGGCGUCGAGAGCGCCGGUCGUGCGCGUUCGAAUCGCGCCGAGGGCAC